UAAUAGUGUAUAUUAAAGUUGUUGCAGUUAAAAAGCUCGUAGUUGAAUGUUGGUGUCGAACGAGCGGUCAGCUUCGGCUGUACUGCUCUCUCGACUCCUUCCUUCUGUGGACUACGUCGCACUUUACUGUGUGGCGCUAGGACGCAGAUCGUUUACUGUGAAAAAAUUAGAGUGUUCAAAGCAGGCCGUACGCCUGAAUACAUUAGCAUGGAAUAAUGGAAUAGGACGUCGGGCCUAUUUUGUUGGUUCUAGGACCGUCGUAAUGAUUAAUAGGGACAGUUGGGGCCGUUUAUAUUCCGUAGUCAGAGGUGAAAUUCUUGGAUUUACGGAAGAUAAACUACUGCGAAAGCAUUCGGCAAGGAUGUUUNCGUUA
Molecule: ribosomal RNA, 373 nt
Filed under: uncultured eukaryote
Lineage: Eukaryota
Description: partial 18S ribosomal RNA
Rfam family: Eukaryotic small subunit ribosomal RNA
Source: RNAcentral